AUCCAUAGCCGGCCUGAGAGGGUGAACGGCCACAUUGGGACUGAGACACGGCCCAGACUCCUACGGGAGGCAGCAGUGGGGAAUAUUGCACAAUGGGGGAAACCCUGAUGCAGCGACGCCGCGUGAAGGAAGAAGUAUCUCGGUAUGUAAACUUCUAUCAGCAGGGAAGAUAGUGACGGUACCUGACUAAGAAGCCCCGGCUAACUACGUGCCAGCAGCCGCGGUAAU
RNAcentral lists this ribosomal RNA (228 nucleotides) under uncultured bacterium. RNAcentral's name for it is "partial 16S ribosomal RNA". It matches the Rfam family "Bacterial small subunit ribosomal RNA", at positions 279 to 524 of the family's 1533-position model. The record is from RNAcentral.